AAGGUUUGGUCCCAGCCUUGAAAUCAGUUCUUAUAAAAUAUACACAUGCAAGUCUCCGCACCCCAGUGAGAAAGCCCUCAACUCCCUAUUAGGGAACAGGAGCUGGUAUCAGGCCCACUCAACGCCCAUAACACCUAGUCUCGCCACGCCCACAAGGGUCUUCAGCAGUGAUUAACAUUGAAAAUAAGCGUCAGCUUGACUCAGUUAAUAUAUUUAGAGCCGGCUAAUCUGGUGCCAGCCGCCGCGGUUACACCAUUGUGGCUCAAAUUGAUUUCCUUCGGCGUAAAGUGUGAUUUAAGAGAACCACCAUAUCUGGAAUCCAACUGAAACUAAGCUGUGACACGCUUGUUACCCAUGAAGCCCACAAACGAAAGUUAUUCCACCUUCAUCAACUUGAACUCACGACAACUGAGAAACAAACUAGGAUUAGAUACCCUACUAUGCUCAGUCGUAAACUUUAAAUUACUCCCCCAUCUCGCCCGGGAACUACGAGCCAAGCUUAAAACCCAAAGGACUUGACGGUACCCCAUAUCCCCCUAGAGGAGCCUGUCCUAUAAUCGAUAACCCCCGUUUAACCUCACCAUUUUUAGCAACUCAGCCUGUAUACCUCCGUCGUCAGCUUACCACGUGAGCGCUAGUGAGCUCAAUGUUUUUCCAACUAAACGUCAGGUCAAGGUGCAACACAUGAAAUGGGAAGAGAUGGGCUACACUUUCUAAUAUAGAUCACACGGAAGACUAACUAUGAAAUCUAGUCAGAAGGCGGAUUUAGAAGUAAAAAGCAACCAGAGAGUCCUUUUUAACCCGGCACUGGGGUGUGUACACACCGCCCGUCACCCUCCUCGAUGCUAUCAAAGAGUUUUUAACACUUCACCGGCCCUUAAGAAGAGGCAAGUCGUAACAUGGUAAGCAUACCGGAAGGUGUGCUUGGUAA
RNAcentral lists this non-coding RNA (931 nucleotides) under Dendrobates sp. QCAZ25711. RNAcentral describes it as "12S ribosomal RNA". It matches the Rfam family "Bacterial small subunit ribosomal RNA". The record is from RNAcentral. Lineage: Eukaryota; Metazoa; Chordata; Amphibia; Anura; Dendrobatidae.